GACGAACGCUGGCGGCGUGCUUAACACAUGCAAGUCGAGCGGAGAUAUAUGGAGGAAGUUUUCGGAUGGAGUUUAUAUAUUUUAGCGGCGGACGGGUGAGUAAUGCAUGAGAACCUGCCCUUCAGAGGGGGACAACAGCUGGAAACGGUUGCUAAUACCCCAUAAGCCGAGAGGUAAAAGGAGUAAUCCGCUGAGGGAGGGGCUCAUGUCCUAUCAGCUAGUUGGUAAGGUAACGGCUUACCAAGGCGAAGACGGGUAGCCGGCCUGAGAGGGCGAUCGGCCACACUGGAACUGAGAUACGGUCCAGACUCCGUACGGGAGCAGCAGU
This 328-nucleotide ribosomal RNA is filed under the name uncultured bacterium. RNAcentral's name for it is "bacterial SSU rRNA". It matches the Rfam family "Bacterial small subunit ribosomal RNA", at positions 28 to 355 of the family's 1533-position model. The record is from RNAcentral.